CGGCCGCGUCGACGAACGCUGGCGGCAUGCCUUACACAUGCAAGUCGAACGGUAACGGGUUAAGCCGACGAGUGGCGAACGGGUGAGUAACACGUGGGUAACCUGCCCUUCAGUGGGGAUAACAUCCGGAAACGGGUGCUAAUACCGCAUAGGUUCUUUUUCCACAUGGAAAGAGAAGGAAAGACGGCCUUUGUGCUGUCGCUGAGGGAUGGACCCGCGGCGUAUUAGUUAGUUGGUGGGUAAAGGCCUACCAAGACCAUGAUACGUAGCCGACCUGAGAGGGUGAUCGGCCACAUUGGGACUGAGACACGGCCCAAACUCCUACGGGAGGCAGCAGUAGGGAAUCUUCCGCAAUGGACGAAAGUCUGACGGAGCAACGCCGCGUGAGUGAAGAAGGUUUUCGGAUCGUAAAACUCUGUUGUCGGAGAAGAACACGUAAGCGAGU
RNAcentral lists this ribosomal RNA (445 nucleotides) under uncultured Trichococcus sp. Its description in RNAcentral is "bacterial SSU rRNA". It matches the Rfam family "Bacterial small subunit ribosomal RNA", at positions 28 to 462 of the family's 1533-position model. The record is from RNAcentral. Lineage: Bacteria; Bacillati; Bacillota; Bacilli; Lactobacillales; Carnobacteriaceae.